Molecule: ribosomal RNA, 496 nt
Filed under: uncultured bacterium
Lineage: Bacteria
Description: partial 16S ribosomal RNA
Rfam family: Bacterial small subunit ribosomal RNA
Source: RNAcentral
AUGAACGCUGGCGGCGUGCCUAAUACCUGCAAGUCGAGCGCACAGAUGAGGAGCUUGCUCCUCUGACGUUAGCGGCGGACGGGUGAGUAACACGUGGAUAACCUACCUAUAAGACUGGGAUAACUUCGGGAAACCGGAGCUAAUACCGGAUAAUAUAUUGAACCGCAUGGUUCAAUAGUGAAAGACGGUUUUGCUGUCACUUAUAGAUGGAUCCGCGCCGCAUUAGCUAGUUGGUAAGGUAACGGCUUACCAAGGCGACGAUGCGUAGCCGACCUGAGAGGGUGAUCGGCCACACUGGAACUGAGACACGGUCCAGACUCCUACGGGAGGCAGCAGUAGGGAAUCUUCCGCAAUGGGCGAAAGCCUGACGGAGCAACGCCGCGUGAGUGAUGAAGGUCUUCGGAUCGUAAAACUCUGUUAUUAGGGAAGAACAAAUGUGUAAGUAACUAUGCACGUCUUGACGGUACCUAAUCAGAAAGCCACGGCUAACUACGUG